UGCACCGUCGACCGAUCCUGAUGUCUUCGGAUGGAUUUGAGUAAGAGCAUAGCUGUUGGGACCCGAAAGAUGGUGAACUAUGCCUGAAUAGGGUGAAGCCAGAGGAAACUCUGGUGGAGGCUCGCAGCGGUUCUGACGUGCAAAUCGAUCGUCAAAUUUGGGCAUAGGGGCGAAAGACUAAUCGAACUAUCUAGUAGCUGGUUCCUGC
Molecule: ribosomal RNA, 208 nt
Filed under: Rhytidhysteron sp.
Lineage: Eukaryota; Fungi; Ascomycota; Dothideomycetes; Hysteriales; Hysteriaceae
Description: partial large subunit ribosomal RNA
Rfam family: Eukaryotic large subunit ribosomal RNA
Source: RNAcentral